RNAcentral lists this ribosomal RNA (246 nucleotides) under uncultured bacterium. RNAcentral's name for it is "partial 16S ribosomal RNA". It matches the Rfam family "Bacterial small subunit ribosomal RNA", at positions 89 to 334 of the family's 1533-position model. The record is from RNAcentral.
AGUAAAGUGGCGACCGGGUGAGUAACACGUGACUAACCUACCUUCGAGUGGGGGAUAACCUCGGGAAACCGGGGCUAAUACCGCAUAAAAUCUUUGGGAUGAGAAGCCGAAGAUCAAAGGAGCAAUUCGCUUGAAGAGGGGGUCGCGGCUGAUUAGCUAGUUGGUGGGGUAACGGCCCACCAAGGCUUUGAUCGGUAGCCGGCCUGAGAGGGCGCACGGCCACACUGGAACUGAAACACGGUCCAG